This is an RNA transcript of Neoarius graeffei (lesser salmon catfish), 4652 nucleotides long. It is a transcript of the gene named activating transcription factor 7 interacting protein 2, with no coding region annotated. NCBI's taxonomy places the organism in Eukaryota, Metazoa, Chordata, Actinopteri, Siluriformes, Ariidae. The record is from RefSeq and is a predicted model, not a curated record. The transcript is spliced from 5 exons.
CACACAUUAAGAAAGUGAAGCGAAGAGGAGACGCCGUGUUCGCGGACAUACAGAAACGUGUAAACCUGGAUGUGGCCCAGGAUCAGGUAAAGGUUCCCAUCGUGCACGAAAUUGCAGCCGUUUCACAAAACUCAACACGCGCAGUUCAGGGUUAAAGGAAUCCGUUUGGUUGAGAUGGUGUCGCCACCCACUGACUGGACAUAAAGCGUAUCGAACGUCGCUUACACGGACUGCAGGUGUAUAGUGAGCAGUGUAUCAUGGUGUGUGUGUGUGUAUUGCCGCUUUUCCACUACCAACACAGCUGAGUUGGGCUGAGCCGUGCCGUGCUGAGUCGGGCUGAGCGGGGCUGUUGGAGUUGCAUUUCGACUACAACCGCGCUGAACCGUGCUGGCUGGAAGUGGGUGGACACAUUGGGUGGAGUUAGUGAAAGUGGGUGGACGUCACGUGAUGUCGUUAGGCGGCGCAAACAGUGACAUCAGUGAUCUUUUAAGCGGUAGUCUCACGACCCGGAUAGUAAACAAUAAACAUGGAGUCGUUAGUGUUGCUGGUCUUGGUGCUGUGGCUUGUUGUCACCGACAACGCAAACAGAUACUGGCAAGAGCGUAUAGAUGAGGCGAGGCGCAUAAGGCUUCAUAAUUCUCAUAAUUCUCCUUCUUCCGGGUUUACGGUGUUUACAGAUCCCAGCGUGCUCGCGGGGCGUGUGUGGGCAUGUGAGGACACUCCUUCUCACCAAUCAGUGCACAGGGGAGUGUCUCCUCACGCCCCUAGCCCCACUCGGCUCGGUUUGGCUCGCUUCAGCCCCACUCCAAAACGGUGCGAGUUUUGGGGGCUAAGCAGGGCUGAAGCGAGCCGAGUCGUGCUGCUCUGAGGUAGUCGAAUCGCGAGCCGUGUCGGGCUGAAGUGAGCUGAAAAAGGGUAGUGGAAAAGGGCCAUAUGUGUUAAAGGGAAAACUUGACACACUUUUUUCCCCCCGUUCUUUAAAUUUUGUCGUCAUUCUCAUUUGAGAUGCCACUAAUUAUUUUUAAACAAUUUUUUUUUCUGUCCCUCAGUGCAUCACUUUCUUCAUUGUAGUAUCAUUAGUCUCUGAAAAAUGAUUUUUUUUGUUUGUUGGACUUUGUCUUGAAGAAAUUGACUCCACCCACUCGAUCAUACUAACACCACAAAGACCACAAUUUUUCUGCCUACCUAGAAGGACCAGAGAGGGGUCAUUUGACCCACACAGCUUGCCUACCUAGAAGGACCAGAGAGGGGUCAUUUGACCCACACAGCUUGCCUACCUAGAAGGACCAGAGAGGGGUCAUUUGACCCACACAGCUUUUGCCGAAUACACUAAUCACUCAUUUUGUUAUGGUAAUGAGGCUGUUAGGGGCAGUGUGUGGGGUGAGGGGGUCACACCUUACAAUGUGUGUGUAAUUGUAUGUAAAUGUCCGAGCAUAAAACUAUCAAACGUAUUGUUGUGCAUGUGGGAGCAAAUGAUGUUUUCAGAGAACAGCUGUUUGUCCAAGAUGAUUUCAGAAAACUUUUUUCUGAUCUCUAUAAGACUGGAAUACAAUCUUUUAUUAGUGGCCCACUCCCAGCGAGAGGAAUUUUUGCAUUUUCUCGACUCUUCAGUCUUAACACCUGGCUUGGAAAAACUUGUUUUUCAUUUGGUAUGAGCUUCAUAGACAAUUUUAACCUUUUCUGGAAUCGCAGAGAAUUCUUCAAGCCAAAUAGCACUGAACUCAGCUGGAUUGGAGCCAAAGUCUUAGUAGACCAUUACAGACUUGCAAUCUUUUCUCAGCCAGCAUUGAAGAAAACAGUUGUUUCUGUGUUGGUAACAGCCAAGACAAACAGGGGCAGACAGCUUCUUCCGAAGGGCUGUCAGCCUCUGAAAUCACCACAGGUAAAUAGUAACUAAUACAGUAUACUGUAUAUAAUACAUAUAAUAUUAUGAAUUAAACGUUUUGCUUGGACAUGAAACAUGAUCACUGAUUUUCUGAAGCGUUAGGUUCAGUGGAGAGCACAGAGGAGAGGAGAGGAGAGGAGCACAGAGGAGAGAGGAGAGGAGAGGAGCAUGGAGGAGAGAGGAGAGGAGAGAGAAGAGAAGAGAAGAAAUGAGAGGAGCACAGAGGAGAGAAGAAAAUAGAAGAGAAGAGAGACGAAGAGAGGAGAGGAAAGGAAAGGAUAGGAAAGGAAAGAUGAGGAGAGAAGAGACGAGGAGAGUAGAGGAAAGGAAAAAAGAGGAGAGAAGAGGAGAAGAGAGGAGAGAUGAGGAGAGGAGAGCAGAGCAGAGCAGAGGAAAGGGAUGGAGAGGAAAGGAAAUGAGAGGACCACAGAGGAGAGGAGAGGAAAGGAGAGGAGCACAGAGGAGGGUGGUGGAGAGGAGAAGAGAGGAGAGGGGGUAUGAGGAGAGGCAAAGAGAGGAGUGGAGCACAGAGCAGGGUGGUGGAGAACUGAGGAGUGGAGAGGACACGGAAGAGAGUCUGGAAGAGAGAAAGGAGUGGUGUGGAGUGGAGUGGAGAGAGAAAGGGGUCCAGGAGUAGAGAAAGAGAAGAGAGAAGAAGAGCAGAGGAUAGAGGUGAGAAGUGGAGGGAAACUGAGUAAGUUUGGAUUUGAGGAGGGCAGAUAAGAGAGGGAGGAGGGCACAGAGGAGAAAGUGAAAGGCAGGAGAGAGUAAAGGAGGGGAGAGGAGAGGAGAAUAUGGAGGAAGGCAGAGAGGAGAGGAGGGGAGGGCAGAUAGUUUGAAGGGAAGGAGAGGGAUAUGUGGAUGAGGCCAGAGAGAGUGACACAGAGGGACACAGAAGUCUUUUCUGUGAUGGAGUCACGGAUGUGCUUUCUUCAUGUUCCCUAUGUUUCUCUAUGGCACAGCCCCCCAAGGCAUGCCCAUGGCGACGGGUCUGCAUGUGAAUGUCCCAUGUGACCAUAACGAGUCAUAAUUUUGUGGUGAAAGAAGCUCCUCUCCAAGGAACGAAGAUGCAGAGAUUCAGCACUCAACAGGCAUUGGAAAUGAUCCUGGAUGGAGCUGACCCUGGCGAAUCGGAUGGAGAAGACAUCAAUCUCCAGGUGGAUUCAGACUCCGAGCUGUCUCAGUCUUCAGAUGAGGAGAGUGCUCCCCAACCAACAAAGAGAGCUCGGCUAGCGACUGAUGUGGCAGAGACUGCAAAAGAUGGCACAGUAUGGCAUGAAGAACAGGUGGGAACGGGUCCACAUUUCACCCCACCAACGCCAUACAGCGCAGAUGGAGAGCCAACCGCUAAGGCCAGGAGGUCAAUCACAAGUCGCCUUCAGAGCUUCCUUUGUUUCAUCACUCUGGACAUGCUUGGCAUCAUACGAGACUGUACAAUUCAACAUGCGAAGCAAACUGAGCAUGUGGAUUGGUUCAUGGGCAUACCUGAACUAAUGGCAUUUAUUUCCAUCACCAUCAUGAGGGGAAUCAUCAAGGUGCCAUCACUGCAUGACUGCUGGUCGAAAAACCUGGGAAACCCACACAUCAUCGAAACCAUGUCCCGAGGGCGUUUCAAAAACAUCAUGCAUCACCUGCGCUUUGAUGACAGAGACACCCGCAGCGAGCGAGUACAGACUGAUAGGUUUGCUGCAAUUUCAAACAUAUGGGGAUUGUUUGUCACCAACUGCAUCACAUCCUACAUCCCUGGUCAACACAUCACCAUUGACGAACAACUUUUCCCGUGCAAGACUCGCUGCUGUUUCCUACAGUACAUUGCAACUAAACCAGACAAGUUUGGUAUCAAGUUUUGGGUGGCGUGUGACUUGAAAACCAAAUACGUCUGCAACAUCCUCCCAUAUCUUGGCAAGGACCCCACUCGGCCUCGUGGGGAGAGAGUGUCUGAGAGUGUAGUCAUGAGGCUGAUGGAACCAUUCUUGGACAAGGGCAGAAAUGUUACCACAGACAAUUUCUUUACAUCACUGUCACUUGCAAAACGACUACUUAGCCGGAAUUCAACCAUCCUCGGCACAGUCAACAGGAUUCGCCAAGAAAUUCCACCAUCAACUCGACAGAUGCACCGCGAUGAAUUUACCACCCAGGUAUUUUCAUCCACUGGUGCCACACUGACUGUGUAUGCGCCCAAGCGGAAGAAGACAGUAUAUGUUCUCAGCAGCAUGCACAGCACGAUUCAGACACAGGAAACCGCCAAAAAGAAGCCAAACACCAUCACACUCUACAACACAACAAAGUGCGGCGUCGAUAUCAUGGACCAGAUGGUGCGGGAAUACACUGUCCGCGCAGGAACAAGGCGCUGGCCAAUAUCAGUGUUCUACAACAUGAUAGACAUUGCAGCACUGAAUGCCCACGUGCUCUAUCAAUUAUGCACUGGGAGAAAGGAAAGACGGGUGGAUUUCCUGUUUGAACUGGCAAGAGAGUUGGCUCACUCCCACGUGGGUAUGAAAAAGGUCCAAAAGGAGCAAUUGCUUCAGCAACAACCCUCCACACCACAAUUCGGACAAAGAGCCAAGUGUCAGGCUAAAAUCAAAUGCAAGGACAAUCGUGCAACUGUGCGCUGUGUUGGCUGUUAUAAAUAUACAUGUGGGAAAUGCAGAAAGGAGCAAUGGCUGUGCCAGAAUUAAGCAUCUCCCGACAUCUGAUAUCAAAACGGAGGAAGUGAUCCAAAACGUGACCAGUUCUGCUAACGGAGGGAUUUCCAGCACGUCGUCAU